RNAcentral lists this ribosomal RNA (323 nucleotides) under uncultured eukaryote. RNAcentral describes it as "partial 18S ribosomal RNA". It matches the Rfam family "Eukaryotic small subunit ribosomal RNA", at positions 1470 to 1796 of the family's 1831-position model. The record is from RNAcentral.
CCCUUCGAUGUUCGGAGCUGCACGCGCGCUACACUGUGGGUGGCAGCAUGUUAGCUUGCCUCGCUCGCAAGAGUGGGGUAAUCGUUUGAAAAUCCCACGUGAUUGGGAUAGGGACUUGUAAUUAUUUCCCUUGAACGAGGAAUCCCUAGUAAGUGCAGGUCAUCAGCUUGCGCUGAUUACGUCCCUGCCCUUUGUACACACCGCCCGUCGCUGCCCGGAACUGAGCCAUUUCGAGAAAAAUGGGGACAGACUGCUUGGUCUCCAGGCUUUGCAGCGGAAAGUUUAGUGAACCUUAUCACUUAGAGGAAGGAGAAGUCGUAACA